CCCUCCUCCCUCCAGUUUUAUUACUCUGCGCCUCUUUUUUCCCGCAUUUUCUUCCUCUUCGUCUCCCUCAAACCUAAAUCCCACCCACUACACACAUUCUCAGAAAAUCUCAGAAACCCUCCUAAAUUCAAAAACCCAAAUCACCCUCAAUGGGCGACAACAAGCGAAAACGAGGCCGUAAGCCCAAAACCCCCACCCCCGAAACCCUAGCCACCACCACCGCAUCCCCACCACCACCAACAACAACCACAUCCGCCGCAGACGACGAUGACGACGCCGUUUUCUCAGUCAGCAACGUCGAGAUUAUCGACCCCAAAUCCCCCGCCGCGGCCGCGGCCGCCCCAAGAAGCUCCCGAAGCUCUCCGAAAACGGCGACCACGACCCGCCCGCCCCGGCCGAUUCGGAUCCCGGAACGGCCUGGGAGGGCGGGGCGAGGGUGGUGCCGU
RNAcentral lists this long non-coding RNA (446 nucleotides) under Rosa chinensis. RNAcentral describes it as "sRNA RchiOBHm_Chr7g0194061". Lineage: Eukaryota; Viridiplantae; Streptophyta; Magnoliopsida; Rosales; Rosaceae. The record is from RNAcentral.